This is a long non-coding RNA of Lolium perenne, 995 nucleotides long. RefSeq lists it as uncharacterized. The record is from RefSeq and is a predicted model, not a curated record. Lineage: Eukaryota; Viridiplantae; Streptophyta; Magnoliopsida; Poales; Poaceae.
CCGUCCCCACCCUGGUCUGGAACUAAGUUCCAGCACAUCACGUGGUGGUCGACGGGUGGGAGGCGGAGUCUCAGCGCGCGGGAGCCGGACUGGCGGCGUGAAGUUUCUGAAGACAGAGGUGGCCGUCCGUGCUGGUUAGGAAGGACGACGGGCAUGGUUCGUCGGCGCGGCGGACGGCGGUGGUUGGGGCCGCGCGACACGGUUCUUCGGUGACAGCGUAGCCUGGACACGCACGGGAUGCGGCCGAUGGGCGACACGAUGAUUGGGGCCUCCAUCUGGCCGCCAUGGCAAUCCAACCCGCGAAGGUCGACCUCGCGCUCCAUCCGGAGGUAAUUGCACUCGGCUGCAGACGACUCCAGCAGGCGGCUAGGCUCGCCGUCGGCCGCUCCUGUGGCUACCUCGCCGACGAGGAAAUCUCCAGCACUCCGAAGCGAAUCUGCCGCCACUGCCCAAGCCCCACUCCGACAUUCUCCUCCGCCAUUGACAGAGCCGCGCGGGCCAGCUCUGUGCUCUGUCUAUCCCCGCACGGACCGUGACAAUGCACCCCGCUAGUGAGCGUGGGCAGCUUCGUGAGCAUUUGAGUUUGUCCUUUUUUUGUCGUUCUGAAUUUGUUUCAACUUUUUUUCGAGAUGGAUUAACUUAGGGAAGGAAUCAGGUCCAUUUUCUGCACGGUGUGUUCCUGAUCCAGAUCUAUUUUGUUAAUCUGUGGGGAUUUUGUGGUGCAAAUGAGUUCCCAAUUCAGAGGAAGGGUCGUCCUUUCCGUUUGAAUGUCUAGCAUUGACAUAUUUGUUUGACGUGCUAUUUUGGAAAAAUACAUUCGAAUUGGUGUAUGAUGUUUUAGAUUUGAUUCCAGGUUUAGUUCGAGAUUUAAUUCUAGAUUUGUUAUUGAACAUUUAUUUUUCUUUUGUUCCCAGGUUUAAUUCCAGUUUUUUCAUUAAACAUUUUUUCGGUGGAUGUGAGAUCAAGGCAACACUAGAAAGUCUUUGGUUUUUACA